Molecule: transfer RNA, 69 nt
Filed under: Ictidomys tridecemlineatus (thirteen-lined ground squirrel)
Lineage: Eukaryota; Metazoa; Chordata; Mammalia; Rodentia; Sciuridae
Description: Spermophilus tridecemlineatus (thirteen-lined ground squirrel) tRNA
Rfam family: tRNA
About the family: Transfer RNA (tRNA) molecules are approximately 80 nucleotides in length.
Source: Rfam by way of RNAcentral
GGGAUUGUGGCUCAACAGUAGAGUGCUCACCUAGCAUGUGUGAGGACCUGAGUUCAAUCCUCAGCACCA